CCAAUAGCGUAUAUUAAAGUUGUUGCAGUUAAAAAGCUCGUAGUUGAAUUUCGAGAUCAGUACGCUGGUCGUGCCUUCGGUAUGUACUGGUGUCACUGGUUUCUCCCUUCUGAAGAACCGUUAUGUCAUUAAGUUGGUGUGGCGGGGAAUCAGGACUGUUACUUUGAAAAAAUUAGAGUGUUUAAAGCAGGCUCGCGCUUGAAUACAUUAGCAUGGAAUAAUGAAAUAGGAAGGUUGAUCCUAUUUUGUUGGUUUCUAGGAUCGAAGUAAUGAUUAAUAGGGAUAGUUGGGGGCAUUAGUAUUCAAUUGUCAGAGGUGAAAUUCUUGGAUUUAUUGAAGACUAACUACUGCGAAAGCAUUUGCCAAGGAUGUUUUCAUUAAUCAAGAACGAAAGUUAGGGGAUCGAAGACGAUCAGAUACCGUCGUAGUCUUAACCAUAAACUAUGCCGACUAGGGAUCGGACGAUGUUAAUUUUUUAAUGACUCGUUUGGCACCUUACG
This 500-nucleotide ribosomal RNA is filed under the name uncultured Glomeromycotina. Its description in RNAcentral is "partial small subunit ribosomal RNA". It matches the Rfam family "Eukaryotic small subunit ribosomal RNA", at positions 591 to 1092 of the family's 1831-position model. The record is from RNAcentral. Lineage: Eukaryota; Fungi; Glomeromycota.